GACGAACGCUGGCGGCGUGCUUAACACAUGCAAGUGGAACGGAAAGGCCCUGCUUUUGUGGGGUGCUCGGGUGGCGAACGGGUGAGUAACACGUGAGUAACCUGCCCUUGACUUUGGGAUAACUUCAGGAAACUGGGGCUAAUACCGGAUAGGAGCUCCUGCUGCAUGGUGGGGGUUGGAAAGUUUCGGCGGUUGGGGAUGGACUCGCGGCUUAUCAGCUUGUUGGUGGGGUAGUGGCUUACCAAGGCUUUGACGGGUAGCCGGCCUGAGAGGGUGACCGGCCACAUUGGGACUGAGAUACGGCCCAGACUCCUACGGGAGGCAGCAGUGGGGAAUAUUGCACAAUGGGCGGAAGCCUGAUGCAGCAACGCCGCGUGCGGGAUGACGGCCUUCGGGUUGUAAACCGCUUUCGCCUGUGACGAAGCGUGAGUGACGGUAAUGGGUAAAGAAGCACCGGCUAACUACGUG
RNAcentral lists this ribosomal RNA (468 nucleotides) under uncultured bacterium. Its description in RNAcentral is "partial 16S ribosomal RNA". It matches the Rfam family "Bacterial small subunit ribosomal RNA", at positions 28 to 507 of the family's 1533-position model. The record is from RNAcentral.